CUUGGAUUGUGGGAAACGUAGUCUCCCGAGGCGGCCUUCCGCUUUAGCUUCUUCCCUGUCAUGGCUGCUUCCCGUCCGUGAACAUCGGAGGCCUGAGCCCGGGGAGUGUUGGCUGCUUUCGCCCCUGCCGCCGCGCUGGGUGCUCCCAGAGAAAGUUUCCAGCCGUCGCGUGCACCCCGCGCCGCCGGGAACCCUACCCUGGGCCGACCGCGCCUUAAUUCUCUAACUUUGCCUCGGGCCGAGAGGGGCCGCGGGAAGGAGCUCGGGGACCCGUCGGCUCCGCAGAGACCGGCUUCCGCACGCUGCCGUCUCUCCAAUCUAGCCUUGAGUAUUUUCCUUCAGCCCUCAAGAACCAGGCAACAUGGCCUCAAUGGGUGAUCUCUCCAAAGUAUUUCUGGUCCUCCUUUCACUGCUCUGUGUGCUGCCUGUGGUGGAAGCAGUAGAAGCUGGCGAUGGGAUAGCGCUUCUUCUGGGCAUGUUUCUCAGCCUUACAGGCAUUUGUGCCUGUUUGGGGAUAUAUGCCAGAAAGAGAAAUGGACAGAUGUGACUUGGGGCAGGGAUGGGGUCGCCCAAGUCAAACAUAACCCUGAAAACCUCUCUGUGUGAGAUUUCUAACUCAGAAAUCAGUUUCUUAAAUGUCAAGGUCCAGAUAGUAAGCAAAUGGUUAUUUUCUAAUCCUUGGAAGAAGUUGCCUUAAAAUGUAAAAAGGGAAGGAAGAAUCAUUUUAUUCAUGAUCAGUAUAAGCCUGGUGGUUCACCAACAUGAAAAUUGGUCAAUAACUUGCAAGGGCUUAAAGGAAGGGGUGGAGGGUACUAUCAAAGAAAUAAAAGAACUGUCAUUUAACCUGAAUGAUGUUCCUCGGCUUCUGGAGCAAUGAAGUUAUAGGAAAAAAGAACUGCCUGUUUAGAAUUGUUGGAUGUCAGAUAUUUUCUGUACUCUAAUAUUACGAAAAAUACUACCCAAAGAGGAUUUGAGACAUCCUUGUUCUGUAUUUAUAUCAAAGAAUUUAUCUAGUUUGUAACCCCAGUUAUAUACUACGGUUAAAUAUAAAAUUUACCUGGUAGCCAUUGGAAGCUUAAAAAAUUCUUCAUAAGGGAUUUGGAAACAUAUGUUAGUUACAUAUUUGCUGUUUAAAUAAAGGAAAGAUUUAAUGUCAUUAAAAAAACUUUUAUAUUGACUACUAAGCAUUUCUGGGAAACACGUUAAAAUAAACAUUAGACUGCUAUGCUAACAAAAUGAAUACUUAAAUGUUUGAUUUCAUUUAUAUGGAGGUGCUUGUUUUUAAAGAAUGUGGAGCAUGAGUUAAGUUUUUUAUUCCAUUUUAGCCAUGAGAAAAGAAUCCUUACCUUGACUGACCUAAUCAGGGGGAGUUUCCUGGAGAAGACAGAAGAAAACAUAAAUCCAGAAUUGACAUAUGCACAGCAGAAACUGACUGGAGAUGUUAAUGAGAGAUACCAUAGAGAAAAGGCUAUAAGAAUUGUGAAAAGAUGGUGCAGCUUAGAAACAAUGAUCCAGUAGUUCUGACAAUAUGAAAGUGACUGAGCAAGUUGAGUCUGCACUACUAGUGACCAAGGGGUAGACAACUAAGGAUUUCAGAAACACAUCUAGGAUCCAAAAUAUGUAAUUAUGAUAUUGGAACCAUCCCUUUAUAGUGGACGAAGGCAAGGCAACAGGAUGAUUAAAUUCUCUACUGUGCUGCCCAGAUAUUGAAUGACGGGUCUGCCAGUAAAGGAUAUGGAGAGGAAAGUGUCGAUUUUAAAAAUGUUAUAGCAAAAGUGACUUUAUAUUUUCAAUGUUUUUUUUCCACCAGUAAAUGGUUCCUUUGGGAGAGGGGAAGUGGGUAUGUUGCUUUAAAAGUGCAAAAGGUGCUACAUUUGGAGCCUGAGAAUCUCAGUUCAGAUCUGAAUUCUGUCAAUUAUUUCCUUUGUUACAAGCAAGUCAUUUGACCUCUCUGAGGCAGACUUUUCUCCUUUAUAUAGGAAAAUAAAUAGGGUUGGACUGGAUCUCUUAGGUCCCUUCCAGCUCUAAAUCUAAUCCUAUUUAUUAAUCAAAUCAAUAAUUAGGCAUAGUAGAAUUACUGGAACUAAAUUUAAAAUAUAUAAAACAGUAAAGGAAAAAAUGUGGCAGGCUACUACAGUCUCCUACUGUUGUAGUCCAAUGCAACCACAACAGCAUGCCAUAUGUCCCUUUUCUGCAAGCCUAAAUGUAUCCAUUAAGCCUGUGAAAUCUGGAAAAAUACCUUCAAUACCACAGAAGAUUAUAUAGUCAUUUAAUUCCAGCCUGAUGCUAUUAAAAUGAUAUUCGAAAUGAGACAAUGGGUUGAAAAGAUAUAGCUUGAAUGAAAAUGUUUUUGUGCUUUUAAAAUGCCUAAGAAAAAUGGGGGCAUUACAUUUUCACUUUUUUUCCCUGAAGUAUCAAGGCAUAGUAAGCGCUAGCUAUAUAAAUGUUAGCUAUGAUGAUGAUGAACCUAAACUGAAAGCAGAGUUAGAACCAGAGGAGACAAAUGGAAAUAUUCCUCCUAGAACGAUUUAUUGAAAAUGGCUGAAAAUAAAGUAGUAUGGCGAUAUAGAGAAUGUUUAAAAAUAGAGACUUGCUUCAUGGCCCGGCUAUUAAUCUCCUAUCCAGUCAAACUGACCUUAGUUGUUCACCCAGCACAAGCUCCCCUCUGCACUCUCAGUUCCUCCUUUCAUUUCUGCUUUGAUAGUCCCUGCCCUUAGUACAGAGCCUACCAUAGAACAGAGCCUUAAAAGGCUUGCUGAAUGACUGACUGGGUUUUGAAGGGUAGACUUCUUGGUCAUUUUUCUGAUUAAUCCAUAGCAUCUAUCAGGGCUUUCUUUCCACAAAGGCUUAUUGAUAUUCACUUAUGUCUGACUCUCUGUGACUCCAAUUGGGAUUUCCUUUGCAAAGAUAGGGGAAUCGUUUGCCAUUUCCUUCUUCAGUUAAUUUUACAGAUGAGGAAACUGAGGCAAACAGGAUCACACAGCUAGUAUCAGGCCAGAUUUGGACUAGAAGAUGUACUUUCUAAUACCUGACCCAAAAUACC
This is a long non-coding RNA of Sarcophilus harrisii (Tasmanian devil), 3043 nucleotides long. Lineage: Eukaryota; Metazoa; Chordata; Mammalia; Dasyuromorphia; Dasyuridae. The record is from Ensembl.